UCGUUGAACUGCCCUUCAACAUAACCUAAACUAGAUACGAGUACUCACGUUCCCCAUUCUUAUCUGUUCACAUCGUAAAAUUUCAACAAACACCCGCCCCAAGAAUGCGUCGCAUCCAAGCCGCUGGGCCAGGCCCAUUCGCGCCCCGUGAUCCUGAGGACGAAAAACGCCGCGCGCGUGAAUCCACCCUCAGUAGUUUGCUUAUAUUCGGUCUCGUUUGUGGCUUAAUCAAAACAGCCCCCUUCGUUAUCAAUCAUCUACGAGCGUAGUCCAGCCCCGUAGGUCGAUUUUCCAUACAAUCUAUUCAGCAUAACUCACAUGUACAACAAUCGAAGAGGGAGGAUUUAUACACUAUCAUCUCUUCCAAACCAAAAAAAAGCCAUUGCAACUCAACUAGACUAGUGGUACUUGACUUAUCAAAGAUGUGAUCAUUUGUACUGACAACCUGUACUGUUUGUAUAACUUGUACAGAGUGAAGCGUACAAUUUUUUCUAUUGAGUGUAAACUGUGAAGCACAUCACAUUGCAUGGAUGUGUGAUACAAGCAAGUCAUGUAAAUGUGUAAUAGAUUCAUUAUAAUAUUACAAGAAUUACUGAGUUUGUAUAAAUUCCUAUCCUAUAUUCAUAAUUAUAGAGUAAAAUUUGACUUACCACAAUCAUUUAUUUAUAGGAAGGGAUCACCUAAUUAUUAAAACACCAUUUUAAUUAGUAAAUCUGCAGGAGUCAGUACCUUUUCAGAGAUCUAACUUGAAGGUUAUAAAAUUUGUUAAUUUUUGAUUUAAGAGGGAAAAUUUGACAUUGUGAAAGUUAACUUGUAUCAUAUAUCAUCUAGAUUCGAAUGAAACUCGUCUUGCGCAUUACUGAAAACUAUCACUAUACAAAUAUAAAUAAGAUUCAAAAGUUAUAAAUUACUUACAAAAUCUAUUUCGAAACUACGUAAUCCAUUGAUUUAAAUGAAUUAUUCGAACAGAGCAUCACUCAAAACAAAUUUGAAUAUGCAACCAUUUGCAUCAGUUGAACAAACUGCCAGAAGAAGAAUCUGGAACCUGUAGACAGAAGAAAGAGGAACUUAGGGACUUGCGGCUGAACUGCUGGACGACUCAGGCACGACUGAGUGCGGAGCGCACUGCGUGCUGCCCUUUUGCACUUGCCCCAAACCCGCAAAAAAGGGUGGGGCAGCGUGGUAUACAAUACUGGCAACAUCGAGCUGGUGGGGGCACUAGAUUCGAAAACUCAAGUCUAUCUUGCGCCCCACCACUUCUGUACCAGACAGCCCUCUGGAAUAUAAGGGCAAGCUGGUUUUAGCUUCCACUUCGGAGAAGUAUGCGUCAGUUGCAAGGAGUUUCCUAGCUGAAAAUAAAUAAAUGUAAUAAACA
This is a long non-coding RNA of Dalotia coriaria, 1375 nucleotides long. RefSeq lists it as uncharacterized. The transcript is spliced from 3 exons. Lineage: Eukaryota; Metazoa; Arthropoda; Insecta; Coleoptera; Staphylinidae. The record is from RefSeq and is a predicted model, not a curated record.